Molecule: ribosomal RNA, 460 nt
Filed under: uncultured bacterium
Lineage: Bacteria
Description: partial 16S ribosomal RNA
Rfam family: Bacterial small subunit ribosomal RNA
Source: RNAcentral
CCUACGGUAGGCUGCAGUGAGGAAUAUUGGUCAAUGGGCGCAAGCCUGAACCAGCCAAGUCGCGUGAGGGAAGACGGCCCUACGGGUUGUAAACCUCUUUUGCCGGGGAGCAAACCUGAGCACGUGUGCCCAGGCGGGGAGUACCCGGCGAAAAAGCAUCGGCGAACUCCGUGCCAGCAGCCGCGGUAAUACGGAGGAUGCUAGCGGUCUCCGGAUUUAUUGGGUUUAAAGGGUGCGCAGGCGGGCUGUUUAGUCGGCGGUAAAAAUUCAGGGCUCAACCGUGUCGAGCCGUCGGAACUGGCAGUCUUGAGUGGGAGAGAAGUAGGCGGAAUGCGCGGUGUAGCGGGGAAAUGGAUAGAUAUCACGCAGAACGCCGAUUGCGGAGGCAGCAUACCGGCGCCCAACUGACGCUGAGGCACGAAAGCGUGGGGAUCGAACAGGAUUAGAUACCCCGGUAGUC